RNAcentral lists this ribosomal RNA (1401 nucleotides) under uncultured bacterium. RNAcentral's name for it is "partial 16S ribosomal RNA". It matches the Rfam family "Bacterial small subunit ribosomal RNA". The record is from RNAcentral.
GGCGGACGGGUGAGUAACACGUGGGCAACCUGCCUGUAAGACUGGGAUAACUUCGGGAAACCGGAGCUAAUACCGGAUAACACCGAGGACCUCAUGGUCCUUGGUUGAAGGAUGGCUUCGGCUAUCACUUGCAGAUGGGCCCGCGGCGCAUUAGCUAGUUGGUGAGGUAACGGCUCACCAAGGCGACGAUGCGUAGCCGACCUGAGAGGGUGAUCGGCCACACUGGGACUGAGACACGGCCCGGACUCCUACGGGAGGCAGCAGUGGGGAAUAUUGCGCAAUGGGCGAAAGCCUGACGCAGCGACGCCGCGUGAGGGAUGACGGCCUUCGGGUUGUAAACCUCUUUCAGUAGGGACGAAGCGCAAGUGACGGUACCUACAGAAGAAGCACCGGCCAACUACGUGCCAGCAGCCGCGGUAAUACGUAGGGUGCAAGCGUUGUCCGGAAUUAUUGGGCGUAAAGAGCUCGUAGGCGGUCUGUCACGUCGGCUGUGAAAACCCGAGGCUCAACCUCGGGCCUGCAGUCGAUACGGGCAAACUAGAGUACUGCAGGGGAGACUGGAAUUCCUGGUGUAGCGGUGAAAUGCGCAGAUAUCAGGAGGAACACCGGUGGCGAAGGCGGGUCUCUGGGCAGUAACUGACGCUGAGGAGCGAAAGCGUGGGGAGCGAACAGGAUUAGAUACCCUGGUAGUCCACGCCGUAAACGUUGGGCGCUAGGUGUGGGGGCCAUUCCACGGUCUCCGUGCCGCAGCUAACGCAUUAAGCGCCCCGCCUGGGGAGUACGGCCGCAAGGCUAAAACUCAAAGGAAUUGACGGGGGCCCGCACAAGCAGCGGAGCAUGUGGGUUUAAUUCGACGCAACGCGCAGAACCUUUACCUGGGUUAAAUCCGCCGGAACUUGCAGAGAUGUGAGGGUGCUCUUCGGAGAAUCGGCGAGAAGGUGCUGCAUGGCUGUCGUCAGCUCGUGUCGUGAGAUGUUGGGUUGUCCCGCAAGAGCGCAACCCUAUCGUAGUGCUACCGGUUAGGCCGAGCCCUCUAACCGGAGACUGCCGACGUUAAGUCGGAGGAAGGUGGGGAUGACGUCAAGUCCUCAUGGCCCUUAUGCCCAGGGCUACACACGUGCUACAAUGGCCGGUACAAAGAGUCGCAAGCUCGCGAGAGCAAGCCAAUCCCAAAAAACCGGUCUCAGUUCGGAUUGAAGUCUGCAACUCGACUUCAUGAAGUCGGAAUCGCUAGUAAUCGCGGAUCAGCACGCCGCGGUGAAUACGUUCCCGGGCCUUGUACACACCGCCCGUCACACCAUGGGAGUCAGUUGCUCCAGAAACGGGUUGCCUAACCGCAAGGGGGGCGCUCUUUAAGGGGUGACUGGUAACUGGGGUGAAGUCGUAACAAGGUAGCCGUAG